Molecule: transfer RNA, 62 nt
Filed under: Rhipiphorothrips cruentatus
Lineage: Eukaryota; Metazoa; Arthropoda; Insecta; Thysanoptera; Thripidae
Description: tRNA-Asp
Source: RNAcentral
AAAUUUUUAGUUUAUCUAAAACUAUAUUUUGUCAUAAUAUAAAAGCCUAACAGCAAAAUUUU